GGAGGGUAUAGCUCAGUGGUAGAGCAUGUGCUUAGCAUGCACAAGGUCCUGGGUUCAAACCCCAGUACCUCCA
Molecule: transfer RNA, 73 nt
Filed under: Vicugna pacos (alpaca)
Lineage: Eukaryota; Metazoa; Chordata; Mammalia; Artiodactyla; Camelidae
Description: tRNA-Ala (AGC) (tRNA-Ala-AGC-98-1)
Rfam family: tRNA
About the family: Transfer RNA (tRNA) molecules are approximately 80 nucleotides in length. Their secondary structure includes four short double-helical elements and three loops (D, anti-codon, and T loops).
Source: RNAcentral